This 505-nucleotide ribosomal RNA is filed under the name uncultured bacterium. RNAcentral's name for it is "partial 16S ribosomal RNA". It matches the Rfam family "Bacterial small subunit ribosomal RNA", at positions 29 to 523 of the family's 1533-position model. The record is from RNAcentral.
AGUGAACGCUGGCGGUAGGCCUAACACAUGCAAGUCGAACGGCAGCACAGGAGAGCUUGCUCUCUGGGUGGCGAGUGGCGGACGGGUGAGGAAUACAUCGGAAUCUACUCUGUCGUGGGGGAUAACGUAGGGAAACUUACGCUAAUACCGCAUACGACCGCGGGUGAAAGCAGGGGACCUUCGGGCCCUGCGCGAUUGAAUGAGCCGAUGUCGGAUUAGCUAGUUGGCGGGGUAAAGGCCCACCAAGGCGACGAUCCGUAGCUGGUCUGAGAGGAUGAUCAGCCACACUGGAACUGAGACACGGUCCAGACUCCUACGGGAGGCAGCAGUGGGGAAUAUUGGACAAUGGGCGCAAGCCUGAUCCAGCCAUACCGCGUGGGUGAAGAAGGCCUUCGGGUAGUAAAGCCCUUUUGUUGGGAAAGAAAUCCAGCUGGCUAAUACCCGGUUGGGAUGACGGUACCCAAAGAAUAAGCACCGGCUAACUUCGUGCCAGCCGCCGCGGUAA